This 457-nucleotide ribosomal RNA is filed under the name uncultured Gammaproteobacteria bacterium. RNAcentral describes it as "bacterial SSU rRNA". It matches the Rfam family "Bacterial small subunit ribosomal RNA", at positions 324 to 774 of the family's 1533-position model. The record is from RNAcentral. Lineage: Bacteria; Pseudomonadati; Pseudomonadota; Gammaproteobacteria.
ACACGGUCCAGACUCCUACGGGAGGCAGCAGUGGGGAAUAUUGGACAAUGGGCGAAAGCCUGAUCCAGCCAUGCCGCGUGUGUGAAGAAGGUCUUCGGAUUGUAAAGCACUUUAAGUUGGGAGGAAGGGCAGUAAAUUAAUACUUUGCUGUUUUGACGUUACCGACAGAAUAAGCACCGGCUAACUCUGUGCCAGCAGCCGCGGUAAUACAGAGGGUGCAAGCGUUAAUCGGAAUUACUGGGCGUAAAGCGCGCGUAGGUGGUUGUUAAGUUGGAUGUGAAAGCCCCGGGCUCAACCUGGGAACUGCAUUCAAAACUGACGAGCUAGAGUAUGGUAGAGGGUGGUGGAAUUUCCUGUGUAGCGGUGAAAUGCGUANAUAUAGGAAGGAACACCAGUGGCGAAGGCGACCACCUGGACUGAUACUGACACUGAAGUGCGAAAGCGUGGGGAGCAAACA